Molecule: transfer RNA, 79 nt
Filed under: Stegodyphus mimosarum
Lineage: Eukaryota; Metazoa; Arthropoda; Arachnida; Araneae; Eresidae
Rfam family: tRNA
About the family: Transfer RNA (tRNA) molecules are approximately 80 nucleotides in length.
Source: Rfam by way of RNAcentral
GCCUUUGUGGUGUAACGGUUAGCACGCUCGGUGCGUAUAGAACACUCGAGAGGUCCAGGUUCGAGUCCUGGCGAGGGCA